RNAcentral lists this ribosomal RNA (301 nucleotides) under uncultured bacterium. Its description in RNAcentral is "partial 16S ribosomal RNA". It matches the Rfam family "Bacterial small subunit ribosomal RNA", at positions 509 to 807 of the family's 1533-position model. The record is from RNAcentral.
CAGUCGCCGCGGGAAUACAGAGGGUGCAAGCGUUAAUCGGAAUUACUGGGCGUAAAGCGCGCGUAGGUGGUUCGCCAAGUUGGAUGUGAAAUCCCCGGGCUCAACCUGGGAACUGCAUCCAAAACUGGCGAGCUAGAGUAUGGUAGAGGGUGGUGGAAUUUCCUGUGUAGCGGUGAAGUGCGUAGAUAUAGGAAGCAACAUCAGUGGCGAAGGCGACCACCUGGACUGAUACUGACACUGAGGUGCGAAAGCGUGGGGAGCAAACAGGAUUAGAUACCCCAGUAGUCCCUGUCUCUUAUAC